RNAcentral lists this long non-coding RNA (334 nucleotides) under Androctonus crassicauda. The record is from RNAcentral. Lineage: Eukaryota; Metazoa; Arthropoda; Arachnida; Scorpiones; Buthidae.
ACUCUGACCUAAAAUUUUCAUGCGCCACUUAGCUAGGCACUUUUCCAGGUUGUAUGUGGGCGCUUUUUGUUUUUCUAUUAUGGGUCUGGCGGCAAUUGGGUGCUUGUCCAUUUUGACAAACGCGAACAGCCUUGGGUAUGCCGGGUCUGUGAUCUUGUGUCUCCAUGCCUGUGGAAAUGCCUUGUCUCUCACAAUUCUAUCUACAGAUUUCGCUAAAGUCAUGGUUGGGUCUUUAGCUAGGCACUAUGGUUUCGAUUCAUCUAUAUAAGAUUUCAAAAAAUCAUCAUAUGUGCUUUCUUUCAUUAUUACCAUCUUCUUGGUUUUUGUCUUCUCU